GGACAGGUGGCCGAGUGGCUGAAGGCGCUCCCCUGCUAAGGGAGUAUGUGGUGAUGAGCUGCAUCGAGGGUUCGAAUCCCUCCCUGUCCGCCA
Molecule: transfer RNA, 93 nt
Filed under: Pelagibius litoralis
Lineage: Bacteria; Pseudomonadati; Pseudomonadota; Alphaproteobacteria; Rhodospirillales; Rhodovibrionaceae
Description: tRNA-Ser
Rfam family: tRNA
About the family: Transfer RNA (tRNA) molecules are approximately 80 nucleotides in length.
Source: RNAcentral